This is an RNA transcript of Harmonia axyridis, 2471 nucleotides long. It is a transcript of the gene named tropomodulin, with no coding region annotated. The transcript has 10 exons. The record is from RefSeq and is a predicted model, not a curated record. Lineage: Eukaryota; Metazoa; Arthropoda; Insecta; Coleoptera; Coccinellidae.
GAGAUCAGGUGCCUUUUUUCGGGAUACCCAACGAAAAUUGUAGGGAGCGCUGAUAUUCAAAAAUAUAUCGCAAAAUGCGACUCGUAAUAUACAAGCAGCUUUUGCUCUAGGCGAUUUUACGCGAUUGCACCAGUUUCUCGGACAGUUCAACAUGUUAAACGUGUUUCAAGUGGUUCCUAUAGGAUAUUAGGGCAUCUUAAGUGCUGUGAUAUUUACAUUGACUGUUUGUGAAGUUUUUACCCUUCUGGAUAUGGGAUAUGGAGUUUUUCCAAGAAUGGUCGGAGACCAAGACGUCUUCAACAACCAAAACAACCACUAUGACAACACCUGCCAAGUUAUAUGGUAAGGAUUUAAGUGAAUAUGAAGAAAUUGAUGUAGAUGACCUUCUCAAUAAGUUAACUGCAGAAGAAAUAAACAUUUUGGCCAAAGAAGUUGACCCUGACGAUUCCUUUUUGCCUCCUUCACAAAGAUGUAGUUAUGAUUGUGAAAAAGAUCCCACAGGUCCUUUGAAUAGGAAACAAUUGAUUGAGCAUAUAAAUAAACAGGCUAUUGAAACUCCUGAUAAACCUGAACUCAAACCUUAUGUGCCAGGAGUUGUAAGGGGGAAGAAAUGGAUACCACCUCCUCAACCAAUGAAAGAACAAGAAGCUGAUGAACAAAUCGCCAUUGAUUUAGGAGAUGAAUAUGAACAAGCUCUCUCAAGUGCCUCACAAGAUGAAAUUAUUGAUUUGGCCGCCAUCCUUGGUUUCCAUUCGAUGAUGAAUCAAGAUCAGUAUCAUGCAUCUUUGUUGAACAAGGGGCAACCAGUUGGUUUGGGUUGGGAUGGUAUUACCAAAGCCACAAAACAAAAAAUAUUCCCAAUGGAACCUCCAAAUCCAAAUGACCCUGAUGAGACAAUACAGAAGGUAGAAGAUGAUGAACCAAAAUACAUUGAUCUCAAUUGGAACAACAUUAAGAACAUAUCAAAUGAGAAAUUUGAUAAGCUCUUUGGUGCUUUGGAAAAGAAUACCCAUUUGGAAACAUUGUCUUUAGCUAAUACUGGAAUGACUGACAGGGAAGCAGAGAAGUUAGCUGAAUUGUUGGAGAAAAAUGACACAAUUAGAGUAGUUAAUGUAGAAACUAACCUCAUUUCACCAAGUGGUAUUGUUAGGCUCAUAAAAUCAUUAUUGAAGUUGAAAAGUGUUGAAGAAUUCAGAGCCUCAAAUCAGAGGUCACAAGUUCUCGGCAACAAGAUAGAAAUGGAAAUCACACAGCUCAUUGAGAAGAACCCCACCUUACUUAGGUUGGGUUUGCAUUUAGAAUAUAAUGAUGCCCGCCAUCGUAUCGCAACACAUUUACAACGCAAUAUCGACACAAAUCGUCGAAUGGUUAAAGCUAAUUAUCAAAUAACAAUUGAUUCAACUGGGAAGGCAAUUAAAAUUGCGCAGACAGCGUAGUACGACACUAUGUUAAAGGCGACUUGCUCGGCUGGGGGCAACCAGCUCUUAAUGCGCGCUCUACAGGCGCCUUACCUCGUAGACGUCGCAUGGGUCUACUACCUCGUAACUACCUGGUGGGCUACUUGAAGUAAAUCCCCCCUGUAUCCGCUUUUUUGGAAUAGUAGCCUUUGUGGAAGACACAUCGCCUUGUUGCUUAUCAGCCGAGUUGACAUUUAGCAUAUAAAUUAAAUAUAUACUAAUCAUAAACAUAAGCAUCGAUUUUAUCAGACACUAUUUUUGUUUAUUACAAUGUGUAAAUGGUAGGGUCCCCUCUUGAUUAUUUUAUUGUCAUUGUGCAAUAGGCAGAUAUUUUGUAAAUCUACUAAUAUCUCAACUGUGACGUCUCGAUGUUUUCUUAGAAUGUUUUCACACCAAAGUGUAGUAUUGUUAUGAAUGUAAAUUUUAUAAAUUAUAAAAGUAUUUGAGAGAAAGUUUAUCACUGCCCAAAUGAUAUAUAAAUAUAAUAAAAUAAUGUAUAUUUUCAUAUUAGGUCCAGAGCCAUUUAAAACAUGCAUUGUAUUUUUGUGAUAAACUAAAAUUUGUUCAUCAGAGGUGGACUCUGAUUUGUGCCUGAUUGAAUUAAUAUAUUUUUGCCUGUAUAUAUUAUUUCAGACAAGUUAUCGUAAGGUAUAUUUAUUUGCUUGAACACACUCAAGUCAGUGGUAUUGACAGAUAUUUUAUUCUAAUUUAAAAAUUUUUAGGGUUAAGAUUUUAACAUAGAUAAUGUAAUAUUGGUAGUCCAAAAAUUAUUUCAGUAUAUAAAAAAAUUCAUCAAUUUCCUGGUUCUAAUUAAGACAGGUUAGGUGUACCAAUAAUGGAAUGUCCAAUAUUUGAUGCUGUUCAAAAAUUAUUUAAUUUAAAAUUGCCGUCAAACUUCCAGAUCAAAUAGAUGAAUAUAAUUUUUCACAUUCGAACAGCUGCUACUACGCAUGUUUGUCGUCAAUGUUGCAUUGAGUAAAUGUGAAAUUUUCACCAAAUAUAUCAUUCACAAUA